CUUGCUCAGUGACUGUGGUGAGGACUGGAGAUUCCUUCCUCUUUCUCAGAGGCAACCAGCUUUGCCUCAGAGGAGGAAGGACCUGCGCGAGCUGAGAGCGGCUCCCUGCCCGUCUGCCACCAAAGGGAACUCUCUCAGCUGCCCUGCUCUUUCCCAGUCUCCAUCAUAAUUACUGGAUGGAGGCCCACGGAGAAGAGCUUUUGAGUGACAGCCGACUUUCCUAGAGAUUCUAAACUUUCACAGAGCCUUCACUCAGCCUUUAACAAUAUGUUAACAUUUUAGAUAUUUUCAGAUUACUCACUUUUAUUGUGGCUGCCUCUUCCUUCCAUGUUGUACCAAAGGAAAAAAACUCCAGGUAUCCUGUGUCCUCGGAGGGACUUUGGAUUCAAUGUGCCUGAUUGCCUGGGGAACUCAGCAUCCUGAAUAAGAUAAAUAAAAGGUAAUUUUUGAAACCUUCUUGUGUCUCUAGCUCACUUUAGCAGAGUUCCUAUUUAUGUACCAGUUGGCAAAUCAGGAAAGGUUCCUACGUGCUUGUCCUUUGAAUGCCUCUAGGAGAAGAUUCAGUCAAAGGACUCGACCUAAAAUUCGUAGGCUUAUGGAUUCUCCAGGAC
RNAcentral lists this long non-coding RNA (611 nucleotides) under Equus caballus (horse). RNAcentral describes it as "lncRNA (ENSECAG00000053345.1)". The record is from RNAcentral. Lineage: Eukaryota; Metazoa; Chordata; Mammalia; Perissodactyla; Equidae.